AUACGGAGGGUGCAAGCGUUAAUCGGAAUUACUGGGCGUAAAGAGCACGUAGGUGGCUAAAUAAGUCAGAUGUGAAAGCCCCGGGCUUAACCUGGGAACUGCAUUUGAUACUGUCUAGCUAGAGUUUAGUAGAGGGAGGUGGAAUUCCACAUGUAGCGGUGAAAUGCGUAGAUAUGUGGAGGAACAUCAGUGGCGAAGGCGGCCUCCUGGACUAAAACUGACACUGAGGUGCGAAAGCGUGGGGAGCAAACAGGAUUAGAAACCCCGGUAGUCC
Molecule: ribosomal RNA, 274 nt
Filed under: uncultured bacterium
Lineage: Bacteria
Description: partial 16S ribosomal RNA
Rfam family: Bacterial small subunit ribosomal RNA
Source: RNAcentral